UACGUAGGGUGCAAGCGUUGUCCGGAAUUAUUGGGCGUAAAGAGCUCGUAGGCGGCUUGUCACGUCGACUGUGAAAACCCGGGGCUCAACUCCGGGCCUGCAGUCGAUACGGGCUGGCUUGAGUGCGGUAGGGGAGACUGGAAUUCCUGGUGUAGCGGUGAAAUGCGCAGAUAUCAGGAGGAACACCGGUGGCGAAGGCGGCUUGCUGGGCCAGUUCUGACGCUGAGGAGCGAAAGCGUGGGGAGCGAACAGG
This 253-nucleotide ribosomal RNA is filed under the name uncultured bacterium. RNAcentral's name for it is "partial 16S ribosomal RNA". It matches the Rfam family "Bacterial small subunit ribosomal RNA", at positions 524 to 776 of the family's 1533-position model. The record is from RNAcentral.